CCUACGGGUGGCUGCAGUGAGGAAUAUUGCGCAAUGGAGGCAACUCUGACGCAGCCAUGCCGCGUGCAGGAAGAAGGCGCUACGCGUUGUAAACUGCUUUUAACCGGGAAGAAACCCCAGGACGUGUCCUGGGUUGACGGUACCGGAGGAAUAAGCACCGGCUAACUUCGUGCCAGCAGCCGCGGUAAUACGAAGGGUGCAAGCGUUAUCCGGAUUCAUUGGGUUUAAAGGGUGCGUAGGCGGAGCGUUAAGUCAGUGGUGAAAUCCUGCAGCUUAACUGUAGACUUGCCAUUGAUACUGGCGCUCUUGAGUGCGCUUGAAGUAGGCGGAAUGUGCCGUGUAGCGGUGAAAUGCUUAGAUAUGGCACAGAACACCAAUUGCGAAGGCAGCUUACUAAGGCGAUACUGACGCUGAGGCACGAAAGCGUGGGGAGCGAACAGGAUUAGAUACCCCGGUAGUC
RNAcentral lists this ribosomal RNA (460 nucleotides) under uncultured Bacteroidota bacterium. RNAcentral's name for it is "bacterial SSU rRNA". It matches the Rfam family "Bacterial small subunit ribosomal RNA", at positions 338 to 795 of the family's 1533-position model. The record is from RNAcentral. Lineage: Bacteria; Pseudomonadati; Bacteroidota.